AAAGUCUACAAGAGAGCAUAGAUAAGUUUAAUCAGAAUUUCUCAGUCAGGAAUCACUUUUAUAAUACAUGAAGGAUUUAUUACUAUUCAAAAGGGAAGGAUCACCAACUGCUAUUAUCAUGCACAUAUGUUUAGACUCUAAAAACCUACAGACAAACAUGCACAUGUGUCAUUUAAAAUAGCUACUUAUAGUUUUGCUCACACUCUAGCAGUCACCUGGAUGCAAGAAAAAGCUGGGAGUUGGUUGGUCGGUUGGUUGGUGGUGUUCUCUGGGGCAUGGAGUUGGUUGGUCAGUUGGUUGGUGGUGUUCUUUUGGGCAGGGAGUUGGUUGGUCAGUUGGUGGUGUUCUCUGGGGCAGGGAGUUGGUUGGUUGGUUGGUUGGUAGUGUUCUCUGGGGCAGGGAGUUGGUUGGUUGGUUGGUUGGUGGUGUUCUUUUGGGCAGGGAGUUGGUUGGUUGGUGGUGUUCUUUGGGGCAGGGUCUUGAUGUGCUAGCCCAUCUGUCUACAAACUGGCUAUCCAGCUCCCUACAUGCUAGCUAGGAUCACUGUAUGUAUUACCAUGUUUGCCUAAAAUUGGUCAAUGAUAAGCAAAGGAAAGGUCAGUUGCUAUGGAAGCCUGUGAGCCAACCACUGAUUCUAAUUUUCCGAGGUAACAAUUCUUCAGUAUGAAGCUUAAAGCCACUGAGAAGAACAGUUCCAUCUCCAGCCUUUUCUAUUCCAAGGCUAAAAGACCUACAGGUGAUACAGAAAGAAAUCUGCUCACAGCUGACAACAGCCUAUGCCCCGGAGACCCCUGAGACAUCCCAUCAGUUCCAGGUCGGAAGCAGCUACACUGAGCCCAGACACUCGAGCCUCGCUGGAAAGGACCAUACCUGGUGCUGCUGACCACCCUGACAGCCGUCAAUUCUCAGCCCUCACCAGCCGUGUACUAGCUGUUAGGGCUGAGAGCUGGGACCUAGAGGGAAAUUCAGUCAUGUUUGUCCUGGGUUCUAUCAAGAUAGGUGUGGGAUAGGCUUGAUUUCUAUUACAAAUGAUAUAACAUUACAUAUGUUAAUACUCCUAACACUUCUUGGGACUGUGCCUCAGGGAUCACAAUCUAUAUAAGUUUAGAAGUUCUAAAAGCUAGUCAUGACCUUGGUGUAUAGGUUUAGAUAGUGUCCAGAUUAGAAUCCUAAUGCUAAAGACUUAGUAAGACACAAAAAAAAGGAGUUGAGAAUUACUUAGGGAUAGGGCUAUCUAGGUGCUGCAAGGGCAACACAAGGACAUCUGCUGUUGCCCUACAAUACAAGGCUUAUAGAAAAUUCAGAACUGCCAUUGACUCAGAUAUAAAAAGAGGGAAGGACUUUUUAGCUGACCUCUAAGAAUACCUAACCUCUCUCUCAGAGGUAGUCCUUCAAAAUAGAAAAGGAUUAGACCUGAUAUUCCUUAAAGAAGGAGUCUGUGUGCUAUACUGAAAGAAAAAUGUUGCUUCUAUACAGACCAUUCAGGAGUAAUUAAAGACUCCAUAAAUAAACUUAGAAAAAGGUUAGACAAAAGACAGACAGAAAAACACAUCAGAGAUGGUUCGAGAGCUAGUUUAGUAGAUCUCCCUGGAUGACUACCCUACUCUCUGCUAUAGCUGGGCCAUUAUUAAUAAUUUUCUUGGUUUUAGUUUUUGGCCCCUGCGUGACAAACAGGUUAAUUGCUUUUGUUAAAAAUCGAGUGGGUGCUGUGCGGUUGAUGGUUCUGAGACAACAGUACCAGUCAGUUAGGACAACUGGUGAGACCAAAUACGAGACUUGAUAUCAAAAUUCUAAGAUUAGAAUUAUUUAGUAGGAGAAGACGGGAAUGAAAAGAGAAUUAUACGAAUUCUAGGUUUAGAAAUAUAAAAAUUAAAAGAAUAAACCCCAAAAGGCCACAGACCCAGAGCUAAGCCCUACAGCCAGGACUAGCAGGCCAUAAAGAUAAAGGAGCACAGGAAACACUGUCCAGGCAGGACUGACAAGCCAUAAAGAAAAGGAAUACAGGAACCAGCCUGAGUUAAUGGGACUGAUUCAUGGGACGUCUGACAGAAAGACAUCUCCCCCCAGCUCACUCAGGGCCAUCCUCCAGACCCUGAUAAGCCCCUGACUUCUAACACGUACUCUUUCUGCUUUGUUCUCACUGCUAUGUUUGAAUGAGCCAAUUGUAUGUAACCACGCCAAAACCCCCUAGCCUUCUCUAUAUAACCCUCUGACUUUUGAGUUUCGGGGCCGACACCUCUGUCUCCUGCGCGGGAUACGUGUCGGCCCAGAGAUCUCUGUAAUAGGUCUCCGUAAUAAACCUCGCCUUUGCUUAUUACAUCCAAAA
Rattus norvegicus (Norway rat) is the source of this 2326-nucleotide non-coding RNA. The record is from RefSeq and is a predicted model, not a curated record. NCBI's taxonomy places the organism in Eukaryota, Metazoa, Chordata, Mammalia, Rodentia, Muridae.